This 63-nucleotide transfer RNA is filed under the name Chrysomeloidea sp. 4 KM-2017. Its description in RNAcentral is "tRNA-Asp". The record is from RNAcentral. Lineage: Eukaryota; Metazoa; Arthropoda; Insecta; Coleoptera.
AAAGGUUUAGUUAAAACAUAACAUUAAUUUGUCAAAUUAAAAUUAUUAAUAUAAUAUCCUUUA